RNAcentral lists this transfer RNA (73 nucleotides) under Planctomycetaceae bacterium. Its description in RNAcentral is "tRNA-Trp". It matches the Rfam family "tRNA". Rfam says of the family: Transfer RNA (tRNA) molecules are approximately 80 nucleotides in length. Their secondary structure includes four short double-helical elements and three loops (D, anti-codon, and T loops). Lineage: Bacteria; Pseudomonadati; Planctomycetota; Planctomycetia; Planctomycetales; Planctomycetaceae. The record is from RNAcentral.
ACGGGCGUAGCUCAAUUGGCAGAGCAGCGGAUUCCAAAUCCGCAGGUUGGGGGUUCGAUUCCUCCCGCCCGUG